GGGGCCGUCGUCUAGCAUGGUAGGAUGCUAGCCUGGGGUGCUAGUGGUCGCAGGUUCAAAUCCUGCCGGCCCCA
RNAcentral lists this transfer RNA (74 nucleotides) under Nitrososphaerota archaeon. Its description in RNAcentral is "Thaumarchaeota archaeon tRNA-Pro". It matches the Rfam family "tRNA". Rfam says of the family: Transfer RNA (tRNA) molecules are approximately 80 nucleotides in length. Their secondary structure includes four short double-helical elements and three loops (D, anti-codon, and T loops). RNAcentral also lists the same sequence under 2 other names. The record is from RNAcentral. Lineage: Archaea; Thermoproteati; Nitrososphaerota.